CGCAAAGUUACAAUUUUCCCGAAAAAUCAACUAUUUGCAUGCUUAAUUAAUGCAUUUGCCUAAUUUGCAUAUGUCAGCAAUAUGCAAAUUAGGUAAAGGCAUUAAUUAAGCAUGCGAAAGGCUGACUUUUUAGAACAAAAUGAAUAGUUAGAGGGCUUAAACUAAACCAAAUUGUCUGAAAUUUUUUACAGUAAUUAAAAACCCG
Paramuricea clavata is the source of this 205-nucleotide non-coding RNA. The record is from the annotation of a GenBank genome assembly. Lineage: Eukaryota; Metazoa; Cnidaria; Anthozoa; Malacalcyonacea; Plexauridae.